AGCCUGGGGAGCUCACCUUCUCUCUAGGAAGGAAAAGGGCAGGCCUCCUGGAUGGGUAGGCACGUGGGGGGCAACCUUUUGCCUCCUGGGAAUGGUCCAGCUGGGGAGGUUAGCUAGCUUCGGGCUGAGGUUUGGGGAAGCCUGGCCCAGCAUCCCUAAGGCAUCUCAUCUCAUCCUUGCCAACGUAUUCUACCCCCUCCAAGAUAAUCCAGUGAUUCUCCCCCCAACUCACCUUUGUUUUUGAAGGCAGGUGGAUGAGUUUCAAAUCCUUUUCCCUCUCCUAGACAGAAGGUUGUUUAUUUUUCCUUUCCCUGCCACCCCCACCCCUCUUGCAUGCAAAGAUAAAUAUUCAAUUUACAUAAGAUGACAUUUAUGUGACAAUUAAGAAGAUUCCCCGAUGGAAUGUUGUGAACACAUUUGCUUAUAGGAGAAAUAAAUCUAAUAAUAAACAAACUCAUAACAGCUCAGAUCCUCCGACAGGGAAGUUGUCUCUUCAACAAAGAGGGACAUGAGGAACUCGGAAAGGAGCGCUCUCUGCAACAAGAAAGAGAUGAACUCAAAGGAAGCCACCAGCAGAACUUCUUUUCUUUGGCCUUCAUUCACAAAGUUUGAAGAGGCCUGUCUGGCAAGAGGAGGGGCUGACUCCACAUCACCUCACAGUUUGUCCUCCCUGGCUUUGGUUCUCAGUGGUCCACUGAGAAGAUUUUCCCAGGCCAAGAAGGCUGUGUGAGGCAGAUCGGUGAAGACAUCUCUCUGGGUCUGUUUUCUCCUUGAUGAGCUGAAGAUUACAGAGACCAUGUGAGCGCAUCAUAUACCCAUGUAUGUGAAUAUGUAAAUUUACAUUCCCUAUGUAGCAGGUCCCUAUGUAGCAGGACCCUGUUAAGAACACACAACACACCUGAGUGCCUUGCUCAUGUCUUCUUACUUAUAAACCCUAUUUUUUCAAUUA
Molecule: long non-coding RNA, 949 nt
Organism: Apodemus sylvaticus (European woodmouse)
Lineage: Eukaryota; Metazoa; Chordata; Mammalia; Rodentia; Muridae
Exons: 2
Source: RefSeq, a predicted model, not a curated record